CUUCUUACUAGCUCUUGUUGUUCACAGAGACUCGUGGCAGAUAUAUGAUGCUAUUGUAAUUCAUCCUUGUGAGCCAGGAGUAACUGAAUAGAUUAAUGUCUACAACCUAAAAUGGUGCGUCUUGUAGUGACGGACCAGUUCCUGAUCUUUGUUGGACGGGACAGGGUCACCACUCCCUUGUAUUUUGGGAUUUGUGUAUUUUAAUGGGAUUUAUGGAUAUUUACCGUAAAGUACAAUGAUGGACCAGUUCCUGCUUUUGUUGGACGGGGCGGAGUUGCCACUCCCUUGUACAUGUAUAUCAGGAUUUGUGUAUUUUAAAGUCAUUUAUUGAUAUUUACGGUGCGUCUUGUAGUCACUGAUGCUUGUG
This 367-nucleotide long non-coding RNA is filed under the name Amphimedon queenslandica. Its description in RNAcentral is "uncharacterized LOC109592435, transcript variant X9". Lineage: Eukaryota; Metazoa; Porifera; Demospongiae; Haplosclerida; Niphatidae. The record is from RNAcentral.